GACAGAGGAUGCAAGCGUUAUCCGGAAUGAUUGGGCGUAAAGCGUCUGUAGGUGGCUUUUCAAGUCCGCCGUCAAAUCCCAGGGCUCAACCCUGGACAGGCGGUGGAAACUACCAAGCUGGAGUACGGUAGGGGCAGAGGGAAUUUCCGGUGGAGCGGUGAAAUGCGCAGAUAUCAGGAGGAACACCGGUGGCGAAGGCGGUUCUCUGGGCAUGUCCUGACGCUGAGGAGCGAAAGUGUGGGGAGCGAACAGG
Molecule: ribosomal RNA, 253 nt
Filed under: uncultured bacterium
Lineage: Bacteria
Description: partial 16S ribosomal RNA
Rfam family: Bacterial small subunit ribosomal RNA
Source: RNAcentral